GCCUUAGUUCAGUGGGAGAACAACUGCUUUGCGUGCAGAAGGUCCCAGGUUCAAUCCCCGGGACU
Molecule: non-coding RNA, 65 nt
Organism: Podarcis lilfordi (Lilford's wall lizard)
Lineage: Eukaryota; Metazoa; Chordata; Lepidosauria; Squamata; Lacertidae
Source: the annotation of a GenBank genome assembly